UACGUAGGGGCUAGCGUUAUCCGGAAUUACUGGGCGUAAAGGGUGCGUAGGUGGUUUCUUAAGUCAGAGGUGAAAGGCUACGGCUCAACCGUAGUAAGCCUUUGAAACUGGGAAACUUGAGUACUGGAGAGGAAAGUGGAAUUCCUAGUGUAGCGGUGAAAUGCGUAGAGAUAUGGAGGGACACCAGUGGCGAAGGCGGCUUCCUGGUCUGUAACUGACACUGAGGCGCGAAAGCGUGGGGAGCAAACAGGAUUAGAUACCCCCCGUAGUUCCUGAGCGGGCUGGCAA
Molecule: ribosomal RNA, 288 nt
Filed under: uncultured prokaryote
Description: partial 16S ribosomal RNA
Rfam family: Bacterial small subunit ribosomal RNA
Source: RNAcentral